GAUGAACGCUGGCGGCGUGCCUAAUACAUGCAAGUCGAGCGAACGGACGAGAAGCUUGCUUCUCUGAUGUUAGCGGCGGACGGGUGAGUAACACGUGGAUAACCUACCUAUAAGACUGGGAUAACUUCGGGAAACCGGAGCUAAUACCGGAUAAUAUUUUGAACCGCAUGGUUCAAAAGUGAAAGACGGUCUUGCUGUCACUUAUAGAUGGAUCCGCGCUGCAUUAGCUAGUUGGUAAGGUAACGGCUUACCAAGGCAACGAUGCAUAGCCGACCUGAGAGGGUGAUCGGCCACAGUGGAACUGAGACACGGUCCAGACUCCUACGGGAGGCAGCAGUAGGGAAUCUUCCGCAAUGGGCGAAAGCCUGACGGAGCAACGCCGCGUGAGUGAUGAAGGUCUUCGGAUCGUAAAACUCUGUUAUUAGGGAAGAACAUAUGUGUAAGUAACUGUGCACAUCUUGACGGUACCUAAUCAGAAAGCCACGGCUAACUACGUG
Molecule: ribosomal RNA, 497 nt
Filed under: uncultured bacterium
Lineage: Bacteria
Description: partial 16S ribosomal RNA
Rfam family: Bacterial small subunit ribosomal RNA
Source: RNAcentral